CGGCCGCGUCGACAUUCGAUGCAACGCGUAGAACCUUACCUGGGUUUGACAUGGAUCGGGAGUGCUCAGAGAUGGGUGUGCCUCUUUUGGGGUCGGUUCACAGGUGGUGCAUGGCUGUCGUCAGCUCGUGUCGUGAGAUGUUGGGUUAAGUCCCGCAACGAGCGCAACCCUUGUUCACUGUUGCCAGCACGUUAUGGUGGGGACUCAGUGGAGACCGCCGGGGUCAACUCGGAGGAAGGUGGGGAUGACGUCAAGUCAUCAUGCCCCUUAUGUCCAGGGCUUCACGCAUGCUACAAUGGCUGGUACAGAGAGUGGCGAGCUAAUCCCGUAAACCCUGCCGUCGACGCGGCCG
This 352-nucleotide ribosomal RNA is filed under the name uncultured bacterium. RNAcentral describes it as "bacterial SSU rRNA". It matches the Rfam family "Bacterial small subunit ribosomal RNA", at positions 935 to 1300 of the family's 1533-position model. The record is from RNAcentral.